Molecule: long non-coding RNA, 613 nt
Organism: Ictidomys tridecemlineatus (thirteen-lined ground squirrel)
Lineage: Eukaryota; Metazoa; Chordata; Mammalia; Rodentia; Sciuridae
Source: RefSeq, a predicted model, not a curated record
UUUUUAUUUUUAUUUUAUUUUGAGAUAGAGUCUCACUAAGUUGCUGAAGCUGGCCUUGAACUUUUGAUUCUCCUGCCUCAGCCUCCAAAGUAGCUGGGGUUAUAGGUGUGCACCACACACCACAUCUGGUCCUAUAAUUUAUUUUGGCGCAAAGUCGGAAGUAAGAAUCUGUCAAGUAAGGUUCCUGAAGAUGACAUGCCCCACUCCAGCCUGACAACAGGUAACCAUGCUUAUUUCACAUGGCCAUGGGUUCCCUGGCUUCUCCAAUCUCCCCUUUGCAAUAAUUCUUCAUGUAAAGGAAUGAUUCUAAAUAUUUAAUUAGAAUUUAAUUAAAUAAAGUUAAGAGAAAUUGUAUGAUUUUGGCAGGGAUUUCUGUUUCAUUGUUUUUCAGAGAUUGCAAUCAUGGUCAAGUACCCUCUAAUCUCCUUGGGGUGAACACUGAUAAAAAUUCGGAAUCCACCACCUCAGUGACUGUAUUGAAGUCAGCCCCAGAGAAUGAGAACUGAAGUCAUCUGUGAAGGAAUUCUUCCAGUCUUCAAUCCUGUAUGAAGAGAGUCUUGUUGAGGAAUUUGGUUCCUAAGCCGACAGGAUGGAGAUUUUGGACUAAUUUUUC